This is a long non-coding RNA of Anguilla anguilla (European eel), 1515 nucleotides long. RefSeq lists it as uncharacterized. NCBI's taxonomy places the organism in Eukaryota, Metazoa, Chordata, Actinopteri, Anguilliformes, Anguillidae. The transcript has 3 exons. The record is from RefSeq and is a predicted model, not a curated record.
UUCAUAUAGCGUUCAUGGAGUUCACUGAGCGUUUGCGCGGUUUGGCUGGUGAGGUGAAAUCACAUGUGAACCAAUGUACUAGUAAUUAUGUAGAAUCCUCUUUUCUCUUUUUCCCUGGGACAACAUGCCCUCCCUUUCCCUGAGUUCUGGGAUCGCUCCAGUCUUGUUCCUCGCCCUCUUUCCUGCCCUCGCCUUGACGCACCUGUCCCUCUAAACUAUAUGCUACAGCUUACCAGCCUAUAUCUCAACACAUUAGCCUGCUCAAGAUCCUUCUUUACAUUCAUGUUACCUCCAUUCUACCCAUACUUUAAAACAGGCCGGUCAGCGUAGGAUAGGCUCCCCCCUAUUGCCGGGUUCCUCCCGAGAUUUUUUCCCAUUGAGAAGUUUUUUUUUCUUGCCAACGUUUGUGGGCUCUUCUCCCCACGGGGGGAUUUUAAUUGAUUUAUUUUUUGGGGGUUCGGGCCUGGUUUUUGCUCUUUCACGGCUACUCUGUAAAAAGCGCAAUAGGUAGCCUACAACUCAAUUUCGUGCCAUGUAACAGCCGAGAAGGAAAAGGGGAUCAGCACGAGAUUGAGAUGUGGCCGCAGGAGCAAGUCGGACCGGUGCUUCAUGAAGAGGUCCUGUUCACGAAAACUAAGCAGAGAUUUCUAUCUUUAUGGUCACAUGGAUUCUCUGGCCAUAACUGGAUUAUGAGCGGAAAACAAGCUCUCGAAAUGAAGAGGACUUUGAAGUCGUCCGUGAGGCCCGUGAUGACCGCCUCCAUGCCGCCCAUCUGGAACGAGAGGCGGGGGAAAUAAGGAGAAGAGCGCAGGAGGAGGCGGGAACGGAGGACAGGACACUGACUACAGGAGCUGAUGAGGGAGCAAGAGAGCAAGCUUGGGGGUGUCCAUUGAGGGAUGUCUUGUACAGACACCGCAAUUGAAUGCUUUAAAACCAUCUUCUAAGUGUAAUUCUGUUAUUUUAGAAAUACUGAGAUAUUGCAGUGUGACCUUAAGAGUGACUCGUAUUAAAAAAUACAAAUAUAAUAUAACUUUUUUAUUGGUAAAAAUUCAAUACUAGAAUUAAAGCAGUGCAUCAUUGGAAAAUGUAGCAUUAAAACGGUGUCUGGACGUAUGGAACUUUUUCUCAUUUGAGAAAAUUUCAUCUACAGUACAUCAGCUGCUUGCCUAAAUGUGAUUCUAAAGGUCCUGGGGGAAAUUUAAAAAAAGAAAAAAAGAUAUUGAAGCCAGCGCUUUGUGAAUUAUCAUGGGUAUCUAUAUACAGUUCUUAGAGCUAUUUUUAUUCAAAAACUGCUGUAAGUUGCCUAUUUUUAUUACCUUGAAUAUAAAUGAGCAGCACCAUGUUCAUGAUCAUUAUCGUGAAUCUUUGUUUGAAAUUUCUGACUUAUCACGUAUGGCAACUGUUAUAAAACCACAUACGUUGAUUAAAUAUUAUGAGAAGUUUAAAUAGAGAUGACAUUGCCUGGCAAGAGCCAUAACCUGUAAAUUGAGAUGAUCAAAUAAACUGAAAAACAGC